CUGAGGCGUGACGACGAGGCACUACGGUGCUGAAGCAACAAAUGCCCUGCUUCCAGGAAAAGCCUCUAAGCAUCAGGUAACAUCAAAUCGUACCCCAAACCGACACAGGUGGUCAGGUAGAGAAUACCAAGGCGCUUGAGAGAACUCGGGUGAAGGAACUAGGCAAAAUGGUGCCGUAACUUCGGGAGAAGGCACGCUGACACGUAGGUGAAGUGAUUUACUCAUGGAGCUGAAGUCAGUCGAAGAUACCAGCUGGCUGCAACUGUUUAUUAAAAACACAGCACUGUGCAAACACGAAAGUGGACGUAUACGGUGUGACGCCUGCCCGGUGCCGGAAGGUUAAUUGAUGGGGUCAGCGCAAGCGAAGCUCCUGAUCGAAGCCCCGGUAAACGGCGGCCGUAACUAUAACGGUCCUAAGGUAGCGAAAUUCCUUGUCGGGUAAGUUCCGACCUGCACGAAUGGCGUAAUGAUGGCCAGGCUGUCUCCACCCGAGACUCAGUGAAAUUGAACUCGCUGUGAAGAUGCAGUGUACCCGCGGCAAGACGGAAAGACCCCGUGAACCUUUACUAUAGCUUGACACUGAACAUUGAGCCUUGAUGUGUAGGAUAGGUGGGAGGCUUUGAAGUGUGGACGCCAGUCUGCAUGGAGCCGACCUUGAAAUACCACCCUUUAAUGUUUGAUGUUCUAACGUGGACCCGUAAUCCGGGUUGCGGACAGUGUCUGGUGGGUAGUUUGACUGGGGCGGUCUCCUCCUAAAGAGUAACGGAGGAGCACGAAGGUUGGCUAAUCCUGGUCGGACAUCAGGAGGUUAGUGCAAUGGCAUAAGCCAGCUUGACUGCGAGCGUGACGGCGCGAGCAGGUGCGAAAGCAGGUCAUAGUGAUCCGGUGGUUCUGAAUGGAAGGGCCAUCGCUCAACGGAUAAAAGGUACUCCGGGGAUAACAGGCUGAUACCGCCCAAGAGUUCAUAUCGACGGCGGUGUUUGGCACCUCGAUGUCGGCUCAUCACAUCCUGGGGCUGAAGUAGGUCCCAAGGGUAUGGCUGUUCGCCAUUUAAAGUGGUACGCGAGCUGGGUUUAGAACGUCGUGAGACAGUUCGGUCCCUAUCUGCCGUGGGCGCUGGAGAACUGAGGGGGGCUGCUCCUAGUACGAGAGGACCGGAGUGGACGCAUCACUGGUGUUCGGGUUGUCAUGCCAAUGGCACUGCCCGGUAGCUAAAUGCGGAAGAGAUAAGUGCUGAAAGCAUCUAAGCACGAAACUUGCCCCGAGAUGAGUUCUCCCUGAGACUUAGAGUCUCCUGAAGGAACGUUGAAGACGACGACGUUGAUAGGCCGGGUGUGUAAGCGCAGCGAUGCGUUGAGCUAACCGGUACUAAUGAACCGUGAGGCUUAACCUU
Molecule: ribosomal RNA, 1393 nt
Filed under: Salmonella enterica
Lineage: Bacteria; Pseudomonadati; Pseudomonadota; Gammaproteobacteria; Enterobacterales; Enterobacteriaceae
Also listed under: 7 other names
Description: partial 23S ribosomal RNA
Rfam family: Bacterial large subunit ribosomal RNA
Source: RNAcentral